This 124-nucleotide small nucleolar RNA is filed under the name Otolemur garnettii (small-eared galago). RNAcentral describes it as "Small nucleolar RNA SNORA30/SNORA37 family (ENSOGAG00000020813.2)". The record is from RNAcentral. Lineage: Eukaryota; Metazoa; Chordata; Mammalia; Primates; Galagidae.
UGGACAUUUGAGACUAAUUAAUUCAGUGGGGCCAGGAUUUGGUAGAUGGUGCUGAGAGAAAACCCUUGAUUGCAUCUUUGCCUUGGGAUUCUACCAGUGGUGAUUGUUGCUCAAUGAGAGAAAG